This 274-nucleotide ribosomal RNA is filed under the name uncultured bacterium. RNAcentral describes it as "partial 16S ribosomal RNA". It matches the Rfam family "Bacterial small subunit ribosomal RNA", at positions 523 to 796 of the family's 1533-position model. The record is from RNAcentral.
AUACGAAGGGGGCUAGCGUUGUUCGGAAUCACUGGGCGUAAAGCGCACGUAGGUGGACUAAUUAGUUGAGGGUGAAAUCCCGGGGCUUAACCUCGGAACUGCCUUCAAUACUGUUAGUCUUGAGUCCGAGAGAGGUGAGUGGAAUUCCUAGUGUAGAGGUGAAAUUCGUAGAUAUUUGGAGGAACACCAGUGGCGAAGGCGGCUCACUGGCUCGAUACUGACGCUGAGGUGCGAAAGCGUGGGGAGCAAACAGGAUUAGAAACCCUAGUAGUCC